Phoenix dactylifera (date palm) is the source of this 193-nucleotide non-coding RNA. The record is from RefSeq and is a predicted model, not a curated record. Lineage: Eukaryota; Viridiplantae; Streptophyta; Magnoliopsida; Arecales; Arecaceae.
UUGGCAUUUAUGGACGACUUUUUGAAACUACAGAUGGUUUUCCUUGGCCAUGACCGAGCACUUCUAUAAUUUUCGAAGUCCUGUGCAUAGCCAUACAAAUUCUUUCUCAAGCACUCAGCAACCAAACAUCCCAAUGUGUUAAGGUCCUACAUAUACUGGAGAACUGCUAGCAAGACUCAGAUAUUAACUUCUU